CUACGGGUGGCAGCAGUAAGGGAUAUUGCGCAAUGGAGGAAACUCUGACGCAGCCAUGCCGCGUGAGUGAAGAAGGCCUUCGGGUUGUAAAACUCUUUCAGAUGUGAAGAUGAUGACGGUAACAUCAGAAGAAGCUCCGGCUAACUUCGUGCCGGCAGCCGCGGUAAUACGAAGGGGGCGAGCGUUGUUCGGAAUCACUGGGCUUAAAGCGUGCGUAGGCGGUCAUCCAAGUCAGGAGUGAAAUCCCGGGGCGCAACCCCGGAACUGCUUUUGAAACUGGACGACUGGAAUCCCGGAGAGGUGAGGAGAAUUCCGAGUGUAGAGGUGAAAUUCGCAGAUAUUCGGAGGAAUACCAGUGGCGUAGGCGCCUAACUGGACGGGUAUUGACGCUGAGGCACGAAAGCGUGGGGAGCAAACAGGAUUAGAUACCCGGGUAGUC
Molecule: ribosomal RNA, 439 nt
Filed under: uncultured bacterium
Lineage: Bacteria
Description: partial 16S ribosomal RNA
Rfam family: Bacterial small subunit ribosomal RNA
Source: RNAcentral